Molecule: long non-coding RNA, 2643 nt
Filed under: Musa acuminata (dwarf banana)
Lineage: Eukaryota; Viridiplantae; Streptophyta; Magnoliopsida; Zingiberales; Musaceae
Description: long non-coding RNA (MACU_LNC006993)
Source: RNAcentral
UGCCGUAUGUUGUCGGCCAUCAAGAACAGUAAGCUUAUUUUGCGCGGAUCCUGUCCAAGUUCUCUAAUCAAGUGUAACCCUCCACUUCGUACAUCUCAGCCGUCCAUUCCUAAUACUAACGCUGAUCAUUAACCCUUUCAAUGAUUGUGAUUAAAAGAUACUUGGAGAGCGUCUCGGCCUUCAAUUAUUAACCCUUUCAACUAAUACUAAUCAUUAGCAAUCUAUGAUUGCAACACUUGUCAGGUGUAGCAAAAAAAUAUAUAUUAUUGUAAGGUUUACAAUUGCCUUGCAAUUAAAUUAACAAGCUUCCAGAAAUGAUUAUAAUAAUAUAAUUAUAAUAAAUUGUUAUGUGCUGCCACAGUGUACUCCAUAUGAAAAAUAUGAGCUAGAAAACAACAGAAGCAAUUUGAUGUAAAUCUUAAAGAUGAUGAAUCUUUACAAAGAGUAAGUGAUGAAUACCCAAAGGACUUAUGAUAAACUGUCCAAAUUUUUAUCAGCUAGACUAGUUAAUAUUUUUUAAAAAUAAUAUAUUUCUUCUGUGGAGACAGAAACAACGAAAUAGCACAGCAUAAGAUACCAUUUGAGAUAAAAUACAGCAAUAAGAAGACGAUCAAUAAAGGAGAUCCAACGGACUCACACUGCUUAUAAUUUAUUCUCGAGAAGUUUUUGGUCGCAAACAUAUAAAGCACUAUAAGAUGGUUUCCAAGUCUUUGCACACGUCUCACACAAUCGCAGGUUCAUAGUAGUAACUAGAAAUUCACCAUGUCAUCGUGGGGCUGUUCACUCUCAAACCUUUUUGCACUGUAUGAAUUUAUUAGGGCAGCGGACGCAUCAACGCUUGAGGUUUGUAUCUUUGACAACAGUAACAGGGCAUGGUGCAUGUGACAGAACAUAGCUCGAUACACUGCCCAGUAAAAUCCUGCAGAAACAUUAAAGAAGAAACACGUGAGAUAAAGAGGUAAAUACUAGUGAGAUUAAUAUGUUGCUGUGGUUGAAGUUUAACUUUCAACAGAUAUGUGGAGUAAAUUUAUGCAUCAAAGCUGCAUAUAACAUUCUCAGGUUUGUUGAAAGAAAAAAAAAUGUUGCUUAACAGUAUCAACCAAAAAUUUCAGCCCCUUUAUAAUUAGCUAAGAACAUGAUGUUUCAAUUAUUUGGAGUCGAUCUUUUAUCAUCGACUCCAUAAAAGAUAUAUUUUAAGUGAAUUAAGAGCAUUAAAGAUUUUUAUUUAUACCCUCCAGUAAAAUGUUCACGUCUCUUCUACCUUCUUGUAUCAUGUAUACUAAUUCUCUUAGCACAUUUUCAUAUCAUUUACGUAAUUCUUUCUCAUUUUAUUCCUUAAACAUAGCAUCUUAAACAUCCAUAGGUCUUUCUCAUUUUUGCACAAAUUCAUAACUUCUACAAUGACUCGUUAGUUUCUAUCUUCUUCUAAUUUUAGACAUAUCCACUUCAACAUUCUAAUUUCAUAGACAAAUAUUUUAUAUAUGUUAACUAUUUAACUACCUACCGUUCAGAUUUUUAAAGCAUCAUUGACCUACAAGAUAACCACUAAGCAUUCAAUAUGAACUGAAGAUAAGAAGAACCAAGUAAAUAACAUCACAAAUGGUGUCAGAGCAAACAUCCAGUGUGUAGUACAUAAGAGCCUUGUGAAGCCAGUGUAUAUAUGAACCUCUCUACUCUUUCAUUUUGACACAUUUAUAACUGAUCCAAGGUUUACUCUUCCAAAUUGUACCUUGACAAAUGUGUCUCAGAUAGGUGUUUCAGACCAAAGGUGUAUCUUAUUAGUUGCAACCACUUCUAGGCAUGACCUUUAAUAGCAAUUAGCCUUUUGAUUCCCUUCAAUGGCACGGAGUUUAAUCACAAUAAUGAGGCGUAUAGAGCCUUUCCCACGGCCCUAUCAUUAAUUAUCACCAUUAUUUAUUUUCUUAUCUUCUUAUUGUUUCAUCAUACUAACUCAUGAUCAGGCUAAUUUGGAAAAUAAAAAUGGGAUGCAAGCGAGAAUGAUAUAUCAUCCUAGUUUGGCAAAUGCAUUAGGGUUUCUGUUAGAGAAAACAAAUAAAACAAAUCCAAGCCUAAAUAUGAAAACAACACCAUACAAAAUUUUUUGUAGGAUACAGCUUGGUUCAACAUGGAGCCUCACAAGCUUUGAGCAACAUCACUGAACUCAUAUGCCAUUUUGCAGAGACUGAGGCUGCAAAUUAACAUAUUCAGUGGAUAAGUUUAAGUUCCAUACUUACUAGUAAACAGUUCCCACUCAGUUUUCCGUUUCUUGGAAUCAAAUAAGGAAACCAUUUCAAUUUAUUUCUAAGCUUUAGGAAAAUUGGACAUUUUUCUAAUCCAACUCAUAACAUGAUUUCCAUGAUUAUUAGGAAAUGCUUAGCUAAACGAUCUAGACUCAUAAAUGCAUCCCUCAUCUUCUAUAGACAAAAUCAUCUGCAAUUAUAACUAUCAAAGGGGAAAUAAAUCAUUGCAAAAGUAUGUCAGAUACAAAAUGACAAAAAGCUAGUAACAAAAUCAUAAUGCUCCAUAUGGAUCGGCCUAAAUAGGUGUUAACCCCAAAAUUACUACAAUUAAUUAACUACUUAAAAGAAUAUUGAAGAUAAUCUCAGAAAUCCCUUAUGCACAGUGCACAUCCUCGAUUUUGAC